Molecule: long non-coding RNA, 363 nt
Organism: Scylla paramamosain (green mud crab)
Lineage: Eukaryota; Metazoa; Arthropoda; Malacostraca; Decapoda; Portunidae
Exons: 3
Source: RefSeq, a predicted model, not a curated record
CCAGCAGCAGCAGAGGAAGAGGAAGAAGGGCACCACCACCAGCAGCAGCAGCAGCAGCAGCAGCAGCAGCAGAGGAAGAGAAAGGACCACCACCACCACCAGCAGCAGAGAAAGAAGGACCACCACCACCACCAGGAAGUUUCAGCAGGGGAAGAAGACCACCAGCAGCAGCAGAGGAAAAGGAAGAAGGACCACCACCACCACCACCACCAGCAGCAGCAGCAGCAGCAGAGGAAGAGGAAGGACCACCACCACCACCAGCAGCAAAGGAAGAAGGACCACCACCACCAUCAGGAAGUUUCAGCAGGGGAAGAAGACCAGCAGCAGCAGCAGCAGCAGAGGAAGAAGGACCACCACCACCAG